UACAAGUUAACUCAUGUGCAUAUAUUUCUAAGCUUGUUUUCAUACUAAAAGAAUAACUUUGAAUAUCCAAAUGAAUUGAAAAAAAUGCUUUUAGAUUAUCAAACACAAGUUCUUUGAGUUUUAAGCUUGUGUCUUCCUUUUUUGUCAUCAUGUCUUUCUUGAUUAUCAAAAAGAGGGCAUUUGGUAUUUUCUUGUAAUGAAAAAUCAGGAUGUUAUCUUCUUUUUCUCUUUUUCUUCUUUCUUUUCUCUCUUUUUCUUUUCUUCCUCCUCUCUUUCUUUAUUUUCUUUCUCCCUUCUCGCACUCUUUUCUUUCUCUUCUUUUUCUAUUUUUUCUCUUUCUCCGCCCUCUCUCUUUUCUUUCUCUUCUUUUCCUCUAGUUUCUCUUUUGUCCAUUUCUAUAAGUGAUAAUUUCUCUUGUGUUAUUUUAAGCUUUUGUUCUUGUUUUCUUUUCAAUGCACCUAAUUUUUAUAAAGUCCUUUCUUCCUC
This 486-nucleotide long non-coding RNA is filed under the name Vigna radiata. RNAcentral's name for it is "long non-coding RNA (VRAD_LNC000841)". The record is from RNAcentral. Lineage: Eukaryota; Viridiplantae; Streptophyta; Magnoliopsida; Fabales; Fabaceae.